RNAcentral lists this ribosomal RNA (242 nucleotides) under uncultured bacterium. RNAcentral's name for it is "partial 16S ribosomal RNA". It matches the Rfam family "Bacterial small subunit ribosomal RNA", at positions 524 to 765 of the family's 1533-position model. The record is from RNAcentral.
UACAGAGGGGGCGAGCGUUGUUCGGAAUUACUGGGCGUAAAGGGCGCGUAGGCGGCCCGCUAAGUCGAACGUGAAAUCCCCAGGCUCAACCUGGGAACUGCGUCCGAUACUGGCAGGCUUGAAUCCGGGAGAGGGAUGUGGAAUUCCAGGUGUAGCGGUGAAAUGCGUAGAUAUCUGGAGGAACACCGGUGGCGAAGGCGGCAUCCUGGACCGGUAUUGACGCUGAGGCGCGAAAGCUAGGG